This 254-nucleotide ribosomal RNA is filed under the name uncultured bacterium. RNAcentral's name for it is "partial 16S ribosomal RNA". It matches the Rfam family "Bacterial small subunit ribosomal RNA", at positions 524 to 776 of the family's 1533-position model. The record is from RNAcentral.
UACAGAGGAGGCGAGCGUUGUUCGGAAUCAUUGGGCUUAAAGCGCGUGUAGGCGGCUGCGUAAGUGUUCUGUGAAAUCCCGCGGCUCAACCGCGUGAAGGGCAGGGCAAACUGCGUGGCUUGAGGUCGGUAGAGGUGCCUGGAACUCUAGGUGGAGCGGUGAAAUGCGUAGAUAUCUAGAGGAACGCCUGAGGCGAAAGCGGGGCACUGGGCCGAUUCUGACGCUGAGACGCGAAAGCGUGGGGAGCAAACAGG